AUUGAACGCUGGCGGCAGGCCUAACACAUGCAAGUCGAGCGGAGGAAGGGAGCUUGCUCCUGGAUUCAGCGGCGGACGGGUGAGUAAUGCCUAGGAAUCUGCCUGGUAGUGGGGGAUAACGUCCGGAAACGGGCGCUAAUACCGCAUACGUCCUGAGGGAGAAAGUGGGGGAUCUUCGGACCUCACGCUAUCAGAUGAGCCUAGGUCGGAUUAGCUAGUUGGUGGGGUAAAGGCCUACCAAGGCGACGAUCCGUAACUGGUCUGAGAGGAUGAUCAGUCACACUGGAACUUAGACACGGUCCAUACUCCUACGGGAGGCAGCAGUCGGGAAUAUUGGGCAAUGGGCGAAAGCCUGAUCCAGCCAUGCCGCGUGUGUGAAGAAGGUCUUCGGAUUGUAAAGCACUUUAAGUUGGGAGGAAGGGCAGUAAGUUAAUACCUUGCUGUUUUGACGUUACCAACAGAAUAAGCACCGGCUAACUUCGUG
This 484-nucleotide ribosomal RNA is filed under the name uncultured bacterium. RNAcentral describes it as "partial 16S ribosomal RNA". It matches the Rfam family "Bacterial small subunit ribosomal RNA", at positions 30 to 507 of the family's 1533-position model. The record is from RNAcentral.